This 468-nucleotide ribosomal RNA is filed under the name uncultured bacterium. RNAcentral's name for it is "partial 16S ribosomal RNA". It matches the Rfam family "Bacterial small subunit ribosomal RNA", at positions 28 to 507 of the family's 1533-position model. The record is from RNAcentral.
GACGAACGCUGGCGGCGUGCUUAACACAUGCAAGUCGAACGGAGAGGCCCUGCGUUUGUUGGGUGCUCGAGUGGCGAACAGGGGUGUAUCACGUGAGUAACCUGCCCCUGACUUUGGGGUAACUUCAUGAAACUCGGUCGAUUACCGGAUAUGAGCUUCUGCUGCACGGGGGGUGUAGGAAAGUGUCGGCGGUUGGGGAUGGACUCGCGGAUUAUCGUCGUGUUGGUGGGUUAGUGGAGUACCAAGGCUUUGACGGGUAGCUGGACUGAGAGGGUGACCGGCCACAGUGGGACUGAGGUGGGGCCCAGACUCCUACGGGAGGCAGGGGUGGGAAAUAUUGCAAGAUGGGCGGAAGCAGGAUGCAGCAACGCCGCGUGCGGGAUGACGGCUUUAGGUUUGUAACCCGCUUUAGCCUGUAACGAAGCGUGAGUGACGGUAAUGGGUAAAGAAGCACCGGCUAACUACGUG